GAUGAACGCUGGCGGCGUGCCUAAUACAUGCAAGUCGAGCGAACGGACGAGAAGCUUGCUUCUCUGAUGUUAGCGGCGGACGGGUGAGUAACACGUGGAUAACCUACCUAUAAGACUGGGAUAACUUCGGGAAACCGGAGCUAAUACCGGAUAAUAUUUUGAACCGCAUGGUUCAAAAGUAAAAGACGGUCUUGCUGUCACUUAUAGAUGGAUCCGCGCUGCAUUAGCUAGUUGGUAAGGUGACGGCUUACCAAGGCAACGAUGCAUAGCCGACCUGAGAGGGUGAUCGGCCACACUGGAACUGAGACACGGUCCAGACUCCUACGGGAGGCAGCAGUAGGGAAUCUUCCGCAAUGGGCGAAAGCCUGACGGAGCAACGCCGCGUGAGUGAUGAAGGUCUUCGGAUCGUAAAACUCUGUUAUUAGGGAAGAACAUAUGUGUAAGUAACCGUGCACAUCUUGACGGUACCUAAUCAGAAAGCCACGGCUAACUACGUG
This 497-nucleotide ribosomal RNA is filed under the name uncultured bacterium. Its description in RNAcentral is "partial 16S ribosomal RNA". It matches the Rfam family "Bacterial small subunit ribosomal RNA", at positions 28 to 507 of the family's 1533-position model. The record is from RNAcentral.